UCCCUGGUGGUUCAGUGGUUAGGACUCUGUGUUAACACUGCUGACAGCUUGGGUUCGAUUCCUGAUUGGGGAA
Molecule: transfer RNA, 73 nt
Filed under: Bos taurus (domestic cattle)
Lineage: Eukaryota; Metazoa; Chordata; Mammalia; Artiodactyla; Bovidae
Also listed under: 1 other name
Rfam family: tRNA
About the family: Transfer RNA (tRNA) molecules are approximately 80 nucleotides in length.
Source: Rfam by way of RNAcentral